CCAGAAUCCACUCUGGCUGGAAUCCGGUGGAUACAGCAGUGUUUACAGAACAGUUCUCCACAGUCGCUGUCCACAUGGGUCAGUGGGACCAAGAAGCACUCUGCUAAUGUGUGGACUCUGACCAGCAACACCCAGCAAGACCCAGGCAGCGUUUUCUAUCUCCCAGCUGGAGUUUUUUUUGUUUGUCUGUGACUGGAGAGUCAGAUUUUUGUUGAGGCUGGAGGAACAGCCUCACACUUGCAGAGGUUAAUACACGCCACUGAUCCCUGAUGGGAGAAUCAUCACCUUUGCCAACAAAGAAGCCUGGUGGAUAUUUGUUUGCAGUCUGAUGAUGGGACAUCAUGCUCUGCAUCUUCAAAGUUUGUCUCUUGAUUAUUAUUCAUACACAGUAAUGUGAAGUAUGCUUAUAUCUAGUAUAACUGGACCAACCUGGUGCUCUUCAUUUAUGGAGGCUGUUGAGUCUGAAUGUUGGAUGUUGUGUAUCUCAUGUUCUCUGGGCUUUGUUGUCCUCAGUCUUUUUGCAGGAUCAGAAAACAAAACCAGGAGGCCUGUAAAUGUUUCUUCUCCAAUUGGAUGAUGAUAAGACUGUGACAUGGGAUGCCACCUUUAGUCUUGUGAUGAAGCAAAGCUCAGGAAGAAGUGCGAUUAAAUGGUACCCACAUGUGUGCUGCUGAGGAGGAUGUACAGGGGCACCUGCAGCCAAAUCCAAGCCUCCUCAGCAACUUCAAGUCUGUCAGCGUGCUGAGGUCACAGAAACAAGAAAAGCAGCUUGACACUUCAGAGUGUUGUUUACAGUUUUCUGUCAUCAUGAUCUCCCCUGAAGUUUAUCACUAUUAUACAAGCA
Long non-coding RNA from Oreochromis niloticus (Nile tilapia), 844 nucleotides. RefSeq lists it as uncharacterized. The record is from RefSeq and is a predicted model, not a curated record. Lineage: Eukaryota; Metazoa; Chordata; Actinopteri; Cichliformes; Cichlidae. The transcript has 4 exons.